Molecule: ribosomal RNA, 1244 nt
Filed under: uncultured bacterium
Lineage: Bacteria
Description: bacterial SSU rRNA
Rfam family: Bacterial small subunit ribosomal RNA
Source: RNAcentral
GGGGAGAGCUCGGGGAAACUCGAAUUAAUACCGCAUACACCCUACGGGGAAAAGGGGGCGCUUGCGCUCUCGCUAUUGGAUGAGCCUAAGUCGGAUUAGCUAGUUGGUGGGGUAAAGGCCUACCAAGGCGACGAUCUGUAGCUGGUCUGAGAGGAUGAUCAGCCACACCGGGACUGAGACACGGCCCGGACUCCUACGGGAGGCAGCAGUGGGGAAUAUUGGACAAUGGGGGCAACCCUGAUCCAGCCAUGCCGCGUGUGUGAAGAAGGCCUUUUGGUUGUAAAGCACUUUAAGCAGUGAAGAAGACCUAACGGUUAAUACCCGUUAGCGAUGACAUUAGCUGCAGAAUAAGCACCGGCUAACUCUGUGCCAGCAGCCGCGGUAAUACAGAGGGUGCAAGCGUUAAUCGGAAUUACUGGGCGUAAAGCGAGCGUAGGUGGCUUGAUAAGUCAGAUGUGAAAUCCCCGGGCUUAACCUGGGAACUGCAUCUGAUACUGUUGGGCUAGAGUAGGUGAGAGGGAGGUAGAAUUUCAGGUGUAGCGGUGAAAUGCGUAGAGAUCUGAAGGAAUACCGAUGGCGAAGGCAGCCUCCUGGCAUCAUACUGACACUGAGGUUCGAAAGCGUGGGUAGCAAACAGGAUUAGAUACCCUGGUAGUCCACGCCGUAAACGAUGUCUACUAGUCGUUGGGGAACUUGAUUCCUUAGUGACGCAGCUAACGCAAUAAGUAGACCGCCUGGGGAGUACGGCCGCAAGGUUAAAACUCAAAUGAAUUGACGGGGGCCCGCACAAGCGGUGGAGCAUGUGGUUUAAUUCGAUGCAACGCGAAGAACCUUACCUGGUCUUGACAUAUCUAGAAUCCUGCAGAGAUGCGGGAGUGCCUUCGGGAAUUAGAAUACAGGUGCUGCAUGGCUGUCGUCAGCUCGUGUCGUGAGAUGUUGGGUUAAGUCCCGCAACGAGCGCAACCCUUUUCCUUAGUUACCAGCGGUUUGGCCGGGGACUCUAAGGAUACUGCCAGUGACAAACUGGAGGAAGGCGGGGACGACGUCAAGUCAUCAUGGCCCUUACGACCAGGGCUACACACGUGCUACAAUGGUAGGUACAGAGGGCAGCUACACAGCGAUGUGAUGCGAAUCUCAAAAAGCCUAUCGUAGUCCAGAUUGGAGUCUGCAACUCGACUCCAUGAAGUAGGAAUCGCUAGUAAUCGCGGUUCAGAAUGCCGCGGUGAAUACGUUCCCGGGCCUUG